UGAAAUAGUUAAUGAAAUGGUGAGCUACACUAGCUUAGUAAGAAUAUCACACUAUUCACCGAUACAGAAACUGAAGGUUGGUAAAAUCAUGAAACAACCAAUUGAGCUCUUGAUUGAAGUAAAUUCAUUUAUCAUAAGGAAAAUUAUUUAUUGCAUAUAUUUACAAUUGUGAGAUUUUCAAAAUCAACCUAUAUAGACAAUAACUCAAAUAACAUUCCAACCUCAUAUUAAAGUGAGUAAAAAUAAUAACUUUCUUUUUUAUUUAU
This 266-nucleotide long non-coding RNA is filed under the name Carica papaya (papaya). RNAcentral describes it as "long non-coding RNA (CPAP_LNC001570)". The record is from RNAcentral. Lineage: Eukaryota; Viridiplantae; Streptophyta; Magnoliopsida; Brassicales; Caricaceae.